Molecule: long non-coding RNA, 4276 nt
Organism: Eriocheir sinensis (Chinese mitten crab)
Lineage: Eukaryota; Metazoa; Arthropoda; Malacostraca; Decapoda; Varunidae
Exons: 2
Source: RefSeq, a predicted model, not a curated record
CUCUAAAGACUCCUUUCUCAUUUUCAACAGUUCUUUCAUCACUUGUGCAUCUCGCUUCUUUUCUCAGGUCGGCUGGCCAUGGAGGAGUACUCUGAUGGGGAAUUUUCGACAGUGCAGGUGAAUGUGAGGUUUGUGAGGCGCUAUGGCUUCUACCUCCUCACCCUGUACAUCCCCACCACCCUGCUCAUGGUCAUCGCCUAUGCAACGUUCUUCUUCAACGUUGACGACUUCAACUCCCGUAUUGUAGUCGCACUGACAGCCCUGUUUGUCCUCUCCUCGCUCUUCACUCAGACCUCCAACUCACUGCCCAAGACUUCAUACUUCAAGCUGGUUGAUAUUUGGCUCUUCUUCUCCAUCGUUAUCAUCUUUCUGGUGUCAUGCUGCAGACACUCAUUGACUACGCACUUGGCAACACCUGGCUCACAAAAUGCCUCUCUAGCUCCUCAUCAUCAAGAACAACAGUGGUGCAAGUCAGUUUUUAUUUCUGUUUAAUGUCAUCAAAACUUCCCUUCCCAUCCUGCCAGGAGGUACUCAGGAUGGGAAAGGGGCCUGCAUGGAGACUCGCCCGGAAGGACCCUUGGAUUUGGCGUCAUAGGGUAGGCAAGGCGACACGCCUCCUGGCGUAUGCCUUCAUUGAUUGACUGAUCAAAAACUUUUUUGCUACUUGUCAUCUCAGCUUGCUAUCUAAGCAGUCACAGGCAACCUCUAAUAUCUAAUUCCAUUACUUAUGGGUAUUGCUUUCCUUGUCUCAAUAAUAUAACAAUAAUGGUUUAGGCACAAUACUAUUUUUGUGAGAUGCAUACCACCCAGACUAAUAACAACCUUGUGAUUAUGAACUAAGUGUAUCAACCAUCACACUAUCAGCCUUCUAGUAUUGAUCUUUUUUUUCAAGUACUGUUUUGUAUGCUUCAGAAAGGUACUUUGUUUCAACACCCCCACCUGAUGUAUACUAAAUAUUAAUGCUAGUGUUGCACUGUAAAAAGAUAGACACAGUACGUUUCAGCCUAUGCAUCAGUAGGCAUUCUUGGUGGGGCCUGAUGAUUGAACCCAGCCCAUUGUAGAUCAGGCAAGUGUUUAUGGUGGCGCCAUCUUGAUUGGCUCAUGUUGCCCGUCAGAGCUCAUCUUUGAGCCUCUCUUUAGAGAGAGAGAAUCUGGAGUCAGGAUUCAAAGGUGGUCUUCAGGACAGAAUGUGGGUAGUCUUAGGCCACUCAGCAGUGACUGAAAAAUCCCAGCUGUGGCAGCGUGCAGGAUUCAAACAAGUGUCCAUUUGGAUGUAGCUACCCAUUCAUCCACCACCUCCCCAUGGAGGUGCUGCAGACAUUGCACCACUAAACUUACAGCAAUUAAAGCAGUUGAAGACUGAUGAUUUUUCAGAUUAUGCAGUGAGCCAGUUCAUAAAGCAGUUCAAUACACAGUAUUUAUAGGUGUUAGAAAAGAACCCAUACUUACUAACAUCGUCAUAUGCUCAUGAUUUACGUGUGCAAUGUCUCCCAUUACCACAACAAAUUACUGUCCCACCCCAUUUUGAAUUGCAAGAUGAACCUCUGCCUGCAAGAUGUGCAAUGUGAGAAGUCUAAGAUGAGCCUCUGCUUUAUGUACGUUUACGUCACAGUUCGCAGACCCACUUGUCUUGCAGCACCCUUUGGGUAGAGGUAUACAUCAAUCUUGGAUUAGAAGGUAACAGCCUUACUAAGUGAUCCUCAGGAAAACAUGUAAAGAAUGAUUAUGGAACUCCAGAAAGAAUCUGAGGGUAAGUCCGAAGAUGAAUAUAAAGAAAAUUAAAGUAAUUUUUCAUAAUCAGUUGGCAGGACAACAAAUAAUGAUUAGGAAUGAAAUACUUAAUAGAUUAAAGGAAAAAAUAUGUAUACAUCAAGGAUAAACAACCAGAGCAAAACCAGCCAUGAAAAAGAAAUCAGAAAGAAAAAAAAAAAAUUGGAUGGAGUGCUUUCGGUAAGCAUAGUACUAUCAUGAAUAGCUACUUGUCACUCUCUCUUUGAAGGGAAAAGUGUAGUCAGCAUAUCUUGUCAGACCUGACAUAAAGUUCAGAAACUUGGCUCCUCACAAGAUUUAGUAGGAGGCUACGAAGUGCACAAAGGAAUGGAGAGGAAUAGGCUGGGUAUAACAUGGAGAAACAGGAAGCAAAUGUAAUCAAUUAAAGAACAGACAAAGGUUGAAGAUAUAUAAGGACUAUUAAGAAUAAGAAAUAGACUUGAGCAGGUCGUAUCAUACGUAGAUCCGAUAACAGAUAGAAAACCAAAGUAACAGAGUGGCAACCAAGGAAUUGUAGAAAUCAGGGCAGACAGAGAACCAGGUGGAAAAAUAAGAUUAGAGCAUUUGCUGAAGCAGAAUGGUAUAUGCCAACAUCAGACAGAGAGGUGGAGAAUGUUGGGAAGGGCCUUUGUAUUGCAGGGGACUUUUAAUAGCUAAAGAUGAUGAUGAUGAUGGUGGAAGAUAUGCCAUUAACAAAAUCAGUCUUCUUUUAGCACUUUUGAUGCUGGUGUUCUGGUGCUGAGGAAGGAUCCAGUGGUGCAGAGGGAGUUUUCUGGCCUUGCUGCACCCAGGUCACCAAGGAAAAGCAACAUGGUCAUGAUGAAGCUGGGCCGCAUCAUAGUUCCUGUCAUUUUCUUCAUCUUCAACCUGGCCUACUGGGGUUCAGCCCUUUCGUAAGUCUGCUGCUUAGGUGGUAACCAUGACAGUUGUAUAUACAGACUGAAUGGUAUGGUGAACGAGUCGAAGCAUGAAAGUGAUUGUAGGUGAGUGUGGAUGGGUAAAUGACAUAUUAAAUGGUUUGGAUAUUGAAAUGAAUGAAUUAUUAUAUUGCUUUUGUAGUAACAAACUUCCUACCCUUUACAGGCACUUGGCCAACCUGGAUACAUAAACAUUGCAAGAAAGGACAUAUCCACAAAAAAAUAUAUAUAUAAAAAAAUCAGUAACAAGCUACUAUUUGUUAACUCCUGCAGGUCAAGUGCAUUGAAUCUUAAUCACCUGUAAUAGGAACUGUAUCUCAUUUAGUUGCCUCUUACAUCAUAAACUGGAAGAUGGGAACAUACUACUCGUAUGUUUUAAUCCACGUCUUAGGGAUGAACUGUUUUUCUGUAUCACAGUCACUGAUUAACAAACAUCAACUGCUGACAUUAGUCAGUGUACAUAUAUGAAGGGUCAACAUACAAUAAUGAAUAUGCUGUUUAUUUACAUUUACAUCAACAGUCCCCUUUAUGCGCUUAAAUUAUAUACAUUAAUACAAUAUCGUAUCUAGUGAUAUUUACACUGCUUGCUCUAAUACAAAAAUAAUAUUAUUGUACAGUCUUCUAUUAUAUAUAUUCCCCUUUACCUGUAAAGGUAAGGCUCUAGCACUAUAGUUUAUGGUCCAGUGCAGCUCUAUCAUGUUGCACACCACAAACCAAAAUGAACAAAACAUUUUAAAAUGCAAUUCUUCUAGAAUAAAAAAUUAUUAUUACACAAUUACACAACUAAGGAACUGUUCCUUCAUUUUUUAAGAAUUGUUAAGAAUGGUAAUAUAUCAUAUAUAAGGGAAAUGUGGUUUCCUCAGUUACUUACUCAGUAUAUGAGUAGUGAAAGAGUAAUACUUGAGAACAGCAUUUGAAGGAGAUGCAAACAUAUAGUCUCUACUAAAUUCUGCUAUAAAAAUAAAAUUUCAUAAAAUUCGGUAAUCUAAUAAACUAGUGUUGAGAAGAAAAAUGCACCCAAUGUAACAAAACUAUCUGCAACACAUCAGCACAGUAGCUGCCAGGAUCUCGGAACACCUGCCAGAACCACUCACAUUUCUGAAUAUUUUACUUUGUGUGUGGUUGGUCCAAUGGAUUCCUAUUACUUUUAUAUUAUUAUCAUGUGAUCUACAACCUUUAUGUUCACUCUGCUCACAAUUAAGAGUAGUGUAAGCUGCAUGUAUGAAAGACUACAAUUUGCCAUAUUCCACUGUCUGAUCUACUGAUCUUACUGUUACUAAAGAGCUAACUCUUCUAGCACUCAUCAUGAUGAAAAUACUUAGUGAAUGAAUCUACCUCCUGAACAAGUUUCUCUUUCUAACCAGUUUUGCAGUCUCUUCAAAACUUUGUUUUUUAGGCUACAAAAUACUACUUGAAAAGUAGGAUGCCAAUACUAUUAUAUAAACAGUCUGUUAGAAAAUUGAUUUAAAUCAUCACUGACUACUCAUAAUUAAGUAUUGUGCUAAAGUUGGUGCUCCAGAUUUUGAGUUUUGACUGUAAUGUUCAUAAUACUGAUUUUUUUUAUUCAAGUUCUUGAAAAAAAAAAAGAA